This 59-nucleotide transfer RNA is filed under the name Toxocara canis (dog roundworm). It matches the Rfam family "tRNA", at positions 7 to 64 of the family's 71-position model. From Rfam's summary of the family: Transfer RNA (tRNA) molecules are approximately 80 nucleotides in length. Their secondary structure includes four short double-helical elements and three loops (D, anti-codon, and T loops). The record is from Rfam by way of RNAcentral. Lineage: Eukaryota; Metazoa; Nematoda; Chromadorea; Rhabditida; Toxocaridae.
GUAGCUCAGUGGUAGAGACCCCGCUUCGCAUGCGGGAAAACCUGGAUUCGAUUCCCGGC